RNAcentral lists this ribosomal RNA (253 nucleotides) under uncultured bacterium. RNAcentral describes it as "partial 16S ribosomal RNA". It matches the Rfam family "Bacterial small subunit ribosomal RNA", at positions 524 to 776 of the family's 1533-position model. The record is from RNAcentral.
UACGAAGGGGGCUAGCGUUGCUCGGAAUCACUGGGCGUAAAGGGUGCGUAGGCGGGUCUUUAAGUCGGUGGUGAAAUCCUGGAGCUCAACUCCAGAACUGCCUCCGAUACUGAAAGGCUCGAGUCCGGGAGAGGUGAGUGGAACUGCGAGUGUAGAGGUGAAAUUCGUAGAUAUUCGCAAGAACACCAGUGGCGAAGGCGGCUCACUGGCCCGGUACUGACGCUGAGGUGCGAAAGCGUGGGGAGCAAACAGG